AGUGAACGCUGGCGGUAGGCCUAACACAUGCAAGUCGAACGGCAGCACAGUAAGAGCUUGCUCUUACGGGUGGCGAGUGGCGGACGGGUGAGGAAUACAUCGGAAUCUACAUUUUCGUGGGGGAUAACGUAGGGAAACUUACGCUAAUACCGCAUACGACCUACGGGUGAAAGCAGGGGAUCUUCGGACCUUGCGCGAUUGAAUGAGCCGAUGUCGGAUUAGCUAGUUGGCGGGGUAAAGGCCCACCAAGGCGACGAUCCGUAGCUGGUCUGAGAGGAUGGUCAGCCACACUGGAACUGAGACACGGUCCAGACUCCUACGGGAGGCAGCAGUGUGGAAUAUUGGACAAUGGGCGCAAGCCUGAUCCAGCCAUACCGCGUGGGUGAAGAAGGCCUUCGGGUUGUAAAGCCCUUUUGUUGGGAAAGAAAAGCAGCAGGUUAAUACCCCGCUGUUCUGACGGUACCCAAAGAAUAAGCACCGGCUAACUUCGUG
This 492-nucleotide ribosomal RNA is filed under the name uncultured bacterium. RNAcentral describes it as "partial 16S ribosomal RNA". It matches the Rfam family "Bacterial small subunit ribosomal RNA", at positions 29 to 507 of the family's 1533-position model. The record is from RNAcentral.